Long non-coding RNA from Nomascus leucogenys (northern white-cheeked gibbon), 96 nucleotides. RefSeq lists it as uncharacterized. Lineage: Eukaryota; Metazoa; Chordata; Mammalia; Primates; Hylobatidae. The record is from RefSeq and is a predicted model, not a curated record. The transcript has 3 exons.
UGUCCUUGUGUUUUCUUCAUUUAGCUCCUGCUUUUAAGUGAAAACGUGGUAUUUGGUUUUCUGUUUCUGCAUUAGUUUGCUAGGGAUAAUGGCCUC